Molecule: RNA transcript, 1373 nt
Organism: Poecilia latipinna (sailfin molly)
Lineage: Eukaryota; Metazoa; Chordata; Actinopteri; Cyprinodontiformes; Poeciliidae
Gene: lrrc34
Gene name: leucine rich repeat containing 34
Exons: 11
Source: RefSeq, a predicted model, not a curated record
UGUUGCCAUAACAAUGGCGUUUCUGGCCACCGUAAUGGCCGCUGAGCCUAUAGCCGACUGUUACAAAGCUAUUUGUGAAAAUGAAAAGAUUGCUAUAAACCCGUUUGUUUUAGAAAACUUAGAGAGAACAACGACGACCAGUUGUUUCCUGUGUUGCAGGAAUUUCACCUUGAAUCUAGCAGGAAACAGGAAGCAGAAAGGCUUCCAGAGACUUACUGACAGUGACAUCCUCGUUCUAUCAAAAUGUCUCCAGAACUAUCAGACCCUUACAGGUCUGGAUCUGGGGUACAACAACAUCAGUGAUGAAGGAGCUGCUUACUUGGCCAUGCUUCUAGAGGCGCAGGACACGACGCUGCGCUCUCUGGACCUCACCUUCAACAACAUUCAGACACAUGGAGCCGAGCUUCUCGCCAGCAGCCUGCAGGGUAACAGCAGCUUGCUCUCUCUCAGGCUGUCGGGGAAUAAGAUUGGUAGAAAUGGAGGCCUGGACUUCGCCGGCAUGCUGCGGGUGAACAUGACGCUGCAGGAGCUGGAGCUGGGCGAGUGCGACCUGGAAAUGCAUGGCAUGAUCGGCCUCAGCACCGCUCUGAAGAACAACACCACCCUCCGGUCUGUGGACGUGAGCCGGGCGCUGCUCUUCAGCCUCUUGGAAGAGUGGGCCGUUCACUUCUCGAAGAUGCUUCCGGUGAACAGCAGCCUGGUGGAGCUCCAUCUGGGGAAGAUGGGCCUGACGGAUACGGGCAUGGAGAGGCUUUCUGAAGGCCUGAAGCUGAACCACAGACUGCGGUACCUGGACCUGCGCUGCAACCGUGUGAGCCGGGAUGGCGCCCUGCAUCUCUCCAAAGUCCUGAAAGGAAACUCCCCUCUGGAGGUCAUCGACCUGUCGUCCAAUCGGAUCGAAGACCCCGGCGCUGAGUACCUGAGCGAAGCCAUCUGUUGUGAGGGCUCCGUCCUCAGAGAGCUUUCUGUCUGCAGAAACAACAUCAGUACCAGCGGCCUGCUGUCCUUGGCCGGGGCUCUGACCAACAGCCCAACUCUGACCCACAUCUACAUCUGGGGAAACCACCUGGAGGAGCCGGUCUGCCAGGCCUUCAAGGAGCUGCUCAACACCGGCCGCCUGACGCCUGAGCAGACCGACGUCAGGCCCUACGAGGUGGACGGCCAUGUUUUCCUCGCCGAGCUCUUCCAUCAUUUGAGGAAACACCUUUUCUUUACAGACGUUAACGAGCAGAACGCAGGUUCAGACUCCCCACAGCAGUGACGCCGUUUAUGAUCAAACACCAGGAAACGGUUUCAUCAGAGGUGGAAAUGGGAUCAUAUUUACAUCUAAAUAUGAAAGAAUGAAAUAAAAGUCGAGAGUGAAUAAAGUUAAA